GUGGUCCCUAGAGCUCAGAAAAUGGAGGUCAACUAAAGGCAAUCUUUAAUCUAACAUAUAUCACUUUCAAGCUACUUGUAACCCCUAUGGAAAUGUUUGAGGCAUGGCUUCGGAUCAUUUCUAGGCUUUGGAUGUAUUCUUUUAUGUGAUGUCUGAGGUUUGUGCCUGACUAUCAGAUGCUGACAAGACACAGUGAAUUUUCGCUCAAACACUGAUUUGAUGGACUGCAGCCCAGAUGACCCCUGCUAACUUAUAGCCACACAGAAACUCUCAAGACACGAUUUUCAUUAUAACCAGCAGAACACUUGGCUGUGCUUGUUAAACCACAGUAAAUAUUUUUUUACAAUCCUG
Phalacrocorax carbo (great cormorant) is the source of this 351-nucleotide non-coding RNA. The record is from RefSeq and is a predicted model, not a curated record. NCBI's taxonomy places the organism in Eukaryota, Metazoa, Chordata, Aves, Suliformes, Phalacrocoracidae.